GUCUAUGUCCAUACCACCCUGGACAAGCCAGAUCUUGUUUGAUCUUGGAAAUAAACUAAGGUUGGGUCUGGUUAGAACUCAAAUGGGAGAAGAAUUGGUUUAUGUAGUCA
This 110-nucleotide ribosomal RNA is filed under the name Marmota marmota marmota (Alpine marmot). Lineage: Eukaryota; Metazoa; Chordata; Mammalia; Rodentia; Sciuridae. The record is from RNAcentral.